Molecule: unclassified non-coding RNA, 253 nt
Filed under: uncultured Cytophagaceae bacterium
Lineage: Bacteria; Pseudomonadati; Bacteroidota; Cytophagia; Cytophagales; Cytophagaceae
Description: contains 16S-23S intergenic spacer region
Rfam family: Bacterial small subunit ribosomal RNA
Source: RNAcentral
UACGGAGGGUGCAAGCGUUGUCCGGAUUUAUUGGGUUUAAAGGGUGCGUAGGCGGCCCUGUAAGUCAGUAUUAAAAGACGGUAGCUUAACUAUCGGUUGGGUAUUGAUACUGCAGGGCUUGAGUUGAGACGAGGUAGGCGGAAUUGAUAAUGUAGCGGUGAAAUGCAUAGAUAUUAUCAGGAACUCCGAUUGCGAAGGCAGCUUACUAGGCUCAAACUGACGCUGAGGCACGAAAGUGUGGGGAGCAAACAGG